Molecule: non-coding RNA, 23 nt
Filed under: Haliotis rufescens (red abalone)
Lineage: Eukaryota; Metazoa; Mollusca; Gastropoda; Lepetellida; Haliotidae
Also listed under: 5 other names
Source: RNAcentral
UAUCACAGCCAGCUUUGAUGACA